AGUAGGAAGCUACCGGUGUUGAGCCCGAUCCAGUUGUGAUCGUCGUAGAUCAUCUCGUUCCAUCCAUGCAUCACUAGGUUGUAAGGCGCGUAGCGGUCCCAGGGGAGCUCGAAUGCCAUGUCGGUGAACAUUGCGUCGGAGUCCAUCCACCAGAUGAACUCGGCCUCCGGGUGGGAGAGGAGGAGCUUGCGGAGGAGGGGGAGCUUGGCCCAAAAGCCGGCCAUCUCGGCGUCGAGCAGGGCCAAGUUGUAGAAGAUGUCGAUGGAGUGGAUGCGGCAGUAAUCGAUCUUGUUUUUGAUGGAUUUGAGGAGGUAGUGGUCGCCGACGGGGUUUUCGCAGGGUUUGGGGGAGGAGCCGGUGACGAGGAGGGUGCGGGGCUUGGAGGGGGAGAGGAAGGCGGGGGUGAGGGGGUGGUCGGCGAGCCAGCGGGAGCGCUGGGCGUCCCAGUCGGAGAUCUUGGGGCCGAGGGAGUAGGGUUUGGAGGGAUCCGGAUCGGAAUCGGCGGCGUCGGUGGAGGCGUGGGAGGGCUGCUGUUCGAUGAGGGCGCGGUGGGGGUGGUGGAGGGAGUGGCGGAUCUGGAUGAAGUCCUGCUCGGGAGUGCCGAACUUGCCGGCCCCGAUCGUGCCGCGGAGGACGAUGAAGGUGAGGAAGAGGCAGAGGAGGGUGAGCUUACCGUUGCGGAGAGCGCGGUGUAUCUGGCGGGCCCGCCGCUCGCCGACGCAGCGGGCGAGCAUCUCCGGCGAGUGGUGGGUUGGUGGUGGUGGUGGUGGGGGGGUUGUUGCGAGGGUGAGGGUGGAGAAGAGGUUAAAUUAGGGCGACGAUGAAUGAUUGAGGGGAAGGGACGACGUUGGCACGUUGUGUGUGUCGGCGAAUCUGGCCGGGACAGG
RNAcentral lists this unclassified non-coding RNA (887 nucleotides) under Hevea brasiliensis (rubber tree). Lineage: Eukaryota; Viridiplantae; Streptophyta; Magnoliopsida; Malpighiales; Euphorbiaceae. The record is from RNAcentral.